Molecule: long non-coding RNA, 334 nt
Filed under: Sorghum bicolor (sorghum)
Lineage: Eukaryota; Viridiplantae; Streptophyta; Magnoliopsida; Poales; Poaceae
Description: long non-coding RNA (SBIC_LNC008888)
Source: RNAcentral
CCGGGAUUGGGAUACGGCGUGGAUGGUUUCCGGCCGAGUCCUGUUCGAAGUCGACCGGAGGAAGAAGGAAAGCGGCCGCGUCGCUUACGUGUGGGCCCGUGCUGUCAGCCAAACAAGCGAGAUGGGAGGGAGUGCGCGCGCGGGCCUCGCUGCUGGGCCGACAUGGGAAACUGGGCCGCGCCCGGCUGAGAAGAGAGGGGAGAGGGGUUUGGCUGGGGUUUUUUCUCUUUUUUUAUUCUCUUUUCUAUUUUCUAAAGCCUUUUCCAAAAGGAGUUUUAAAUACAAUUAACUUCAGACCAAAAGCAAUCAACACAAAAUAAAGUAUGUCUCAGCA